GAUGAACGCUGGCGGCGUGCCUAAUACAUGCAAGUCGAGCGAACAGAUGAGGAGCUUGCUCCUCUGACGUUAGCGGCGGACGGGUGAGUAACACGUGGAUAACCUACCUAUAAGACUGGGAUAACUUCGGGAAACCGGAGCUAAUACCGGAUAAUAUAUUGAACCGCAUGGUUCAAUAGUGAAAGACGGUUUUGCUGUCACUUAUAGAUGGAUCCGCGCCGCAUUAGCUAGUUGGUAAGGUAACGGCUUACCAAGGCAACGAUGCGUAGCCGACCUGAGAGGGUGGUCGCCGACACUGGAACUGAGACGCGGUCAAGACUCCUACGGGAGGCAGCAGUAGGGAAUCUUCCGCAAUGGGCGGAAGCCUGACGGAGCAACGCCGCGUGAGUGAUGAAGGUCUUCGGAUCGUAAAACUCUGUUAUUAGGGAAGAACAAAUGUGUAAGUAACUAUGCACGUCUUGACGGUACCUAAUCAGAAAGCCACGGCUAACUACGUG
This 497-nucleotide ribosomal RNA is filed under the name uncultured bacterium. RNAcentral describes it as "partial 16S ribosomal RNA". It matches the Rfam family "Bacterial small subunit ribosomal RNA", at positions 28 to 507 of the family's 1533-position model. The record is from RNAcentral.